RNAcentral lists this long non-coding RNA (440 nucleotides) under Glycine max (soybean). RNAcentral describes it as "long non-coding RNA (GMAX_LNC001921)". The record is from RNAcentral. Lineage: Eukaryota; Viridiplantae; Streptophyta; Magnoliopsida; Fabales; Fabaceae.
GCCUGCAAAAUAAAAAUAUAGUAACCAAACAGUGGCCUUGAUAUCUAUUCUCAAUCAUAAUCGACAUCUUGUUGAGUGUUGUCCUUGCAAAAAACAAUAGUGUUAUUAUGGCCAUAUUAAGUAUAAUUGAAGGGCUAGCACCGUGCCAUUAACGUUGUCCUAUUUGGUAAACGCACAUGAAUGGUUAUAUAUCAAACACAUCACAAGAGGGAAAAUAUUUACUAUAGAAGAGAUAAUUCUGUGCCUUCCAAACCUUCAUAGAUUUCAAAUAAAUUGCAAUAAGAACAAACAAGUUAACAAUUAAUCAAAUUCAAGACCAAAAUUACAAUUGAAGCUUCAAUUCAAGUUCAAUAGGUCUAACAAAUUAACUUACUGGAGCCUAAAGACCUGGGUCACUCUAACUAAGAAGACUUAGAAGAGAUGUUGUAACAAUAGUUUAU